GACGAACGCUGGCGGCGUGCUUAAUACAUGCAAGUCGAGCGGUAAGGCCCUUUCGGGGGUACGACGAGCGGCGAACGGGUGAGUAACACGUGGGUGACCCGCCCUCAGCUCUGGGAUAAGCCUGGGAAACUGGGUCUAAUACCGGAUAUGACCCCAUGACGCAUGUCGUGGGGUGGAAAGCCUUGUGCGGCUGAGGAUGGGCCCGCGGCCUAUCAGCUUGUUGGUGGGGUGAUGGCCACCAAGGCGACGACGGGUAGCCGGCCUGAGAGGGCGACCGGCC
RNAcentral lists this ribosomal RNA (280 nucleotides) under uncultured bacterium. RNAcentral's name for it is "partial 16S ribosomal RNA". It matches the Rfam family "Bacterial small subunit ribosomal RNA", at positions 28 to 309 of the family's 1533-position model. The record is from RNAcentral.